RNAcentral lists this ribosomal RNA (497 nucleotides) under uncultured bacterium. Its description in RNAcentral is "partial 16S ribosomal RNA". It matches the Rfam family "Bacterial small subunit ribosomal RNA", at positions 28 to 507 of the family's 1533-position model. The record is from RNAcentral.
GAUGAACGCUGGCGGCGUGCCUAAUACAUGCAAGUCGAGCGAACGGACGAGAAGCUUGCUUCUCUGAUGUUAGCGGCGGACGGGUGAGUAACACGUGGAUAACCUACCUAUAAGACUGGGAUAACUUCGGGAAACCGGAGCUAAUACCGGAUAAUAUUUUGAACCGCAUGGUUCAAAAGUGAAAGACGGUCUUGCUGUCACUUAUAGAUGGAUCCGCGCUGCAUUAGCUAGUUGGUAAGGUAACGGCUUACCAAGGCAACGAUGCAUAGCCGACCUGAGAGGGUGAUCGGCCACACUGGAACUGAGACACGGUCCAGACUCCUACGGGAGGCAGCAGUAGGGAAUCUUCCGCAACGGGCGAAAGCCUGACGGAGCAACGCCGAGUGAGUGAUGAAGGUCUUCGGAUCGUAAAACUCUGUUAUUAGGGAAGAACAGAUGUGUAAGUAACUGUGCCCAUCUUGACGGUACCUAAUAAGAAAGCCACGGCUAACUACGUG